RNAcentral lists this ribosomal RNA (119 nucleotides) under Pteropus alecto (black flying fox). The record is from RNAcentral. Lineage: Eukaryota; Metazoa; Chordata; Mammalia; Chiroptera; Pteropodidae.
GUCUCCGGCCAUGCCACCCUGAAUAAGCCGGAUCCCGUCUGAUCUCAGAAGCUAAGCAGGGUCGGGCCUGGUUAGUACUCGGAUGGGAGACCACCUAGGAUGAUCAGGUACAGUCGGCG